Long non-coding RNA from Haplochromis burtoni (Burton's mouthbrooder), 2197 nucleotides. RefSeq lists it as uncharacterized. NCBI's taxonomy places the organism in Eukaryota, Metazoa, Chordata, Actinopteri, Cichliformes, Cichlidae. The record is from RefSeq and is a predicted model, not a curated record. The transcript is spliced from 2 exons.
AUAUGUUUCUGUCAUUGAGUAACGUAAUGGAAUACAUUUUAAGAGUAACCUUCCCAACACUGGUCUUCACACACAGUUAACACACACAGUUUUUUGACAAGUAAUGUGUUGCGUGACAUAUUCACAUAUAUGUAUGACUGCUGAAAAUGCUCACCAUUGAAAAUAGAUAUAACUUAAAUAAAUGUAAUUAUUAAUCCCUGAGGAAACACAUAAUAUCCUUAGAAUAGGGCACUGGAGGUCGUGACCUAGUUUCUCAAUGGUGCAACUAAAAAAAAUCUUGCGUCACGCUGGUGCGAUUAGCCGUUCAAGAAGAAGAAAAAAACCCAGUCUGAAAGUCUCUGUGUGGUUAACAACAGACACACAUUAUGCCCAUAUCAUGGUCUAAACCAAUCAGAGAUAGUCAAGGGUGGGACCUCUUUUAUUGACUGUGUUCCAGAUAUUCCUGUAGGUGCAGGCGGAGAGAGGGAGGUGAGUGGCCUAGGCCUGAUAGAAGUAGAUGUAGCUGUGGGUAAUGAGAAAAUCUUUUGAGAAAGAUUAAUAAAUUUGUCAUGAAGUUGAGGCUGAUCCAUCCGAAAUUCAUAGCCAGUGCUCUGACAGUGAGCCAUCAACCUCUGAGGUUAUGUUUAACACUGUUUCGGAGACAGCAUUAGAUGAUGAGCCACAUAUGAUCGACUCCGAGCCAGAGCCCGCUGACAGUAAAAGUGGGGCAAGUGUAUACAAUUCAAAGAGAGUGGCUUGACCAGUUUCACUGGCUAAGAUACAGUAAAGCCAGUCAGUCUGCCCCAGGGCAGCUGUGGCUACAACUGUAGCUCGCCUUCACCAGUGUAUGAAUGUGGGAGUAAAUGAAUAGUGGUAUUGUAAAGCGCUUUGAGGGGUCCCGAAAUGCGCUAUAUAAAUGCAAUCCAUUAUUAUUAUUAUUAUUAUUAUUAUUAUUAUUAUUAAAGCUGACAACAUGAUGCGCAGCAUUUACUGUGGUGCAAUGGUGGUUUUUGAUACGGGAGACAUGGGCCAUACCACAGAGUGGCAUCGUGGGCAUCAGCAGAAAAAGAUGCUUGCACCCAUGCUGCCCCGACAUCAUAACAGCUCAAAUGUGCAGUUGAUGUGAUAGUGACGGGCUGCUGAACCAAUCAACUGGAAUUCUUUUGGAACACCAAAAAUACUUUGGCUCACGUGGUUUCAUGGAAUUAUGUAAAAUAGUGUCGUGGAGUGUCAUAAUGCUAUUAAAAUCCUCACAUAUUUGAAACUGUAAAAGACAGACAUAGCUUUGAUUCAAGAGAUGCAUCUUGAUGAGGUGGAAUCAUUAAAGUUGAAAAGAGACUGGGUGUCCCAAGUUUAUCUUAGUGCAUUUUCCAGUAGGAAAAGAGGCGUGGUUAUAUUGAUUAGAAGAAAUUUGGAUUUUCAAGUACUCAAUCAUUAUACGGAUCUGGAGAGUAGAUGGGUGGUCUUGGAUGCAUGUCUACAGGGGCAGAAAGUGACAUUGGUCAACAUAUAUGCCCCCAAUUCUCCUCAACCACAAUUUUUUCAUGAAGUGUGUAGCACAGUGCGGAAUAUUGGAAAUAUAAAUAUUGUAAUUGGUGGGGAUUUUAACCAGGUCAGGGAUGUGUUUUUUGAUUAAUCCUCUCGUCUUAGACCAAAUAAGCACCCUGUAGAUGCUGCUUUGGACGUUGUGUCAGAGGAGCUGAGCUUGUUGGAUAUAUGAAGACUAUAUAUAUAUAUGAAGACCUGUAUCCUCAAGAAAGAGACUAUACUUUCUUUUCCCAUCCUCACUUUACUUUCUGGUGUCUCGCUCUCUGGUGAGUCAAGUUGUCGGGUCCUCCAUUGGUAUUAUUUCAGUAACUGAUCAUGCUCCCAUUGAAAGUUUUGUCCUUGGGAUAAACUAGUCUGUUUUGUUUCGCUUAAUGCGUCUUAUUCUCGAAAAGUAGGAUAGUUGUUUCUGGGGUUUCACCUUAAAGCUUCAUAAUUAUUGUUGUCACUGAGCAGUGUACUGUUUAUUUGCUCUGCUUCUAUUUUUCAGGGAUAAAUUACAUAUCUAUACAUUUUAUGUCCCAGCUAAAUAACAAGUCUGGUGGAGAAGCAGAGGAACAAUUUCAGCCCUUUGGAUUCAGCUCAGCCACUAGAUUGGAAACAAUGACUUCAACACAAAAGGACCAACAUGAGAGCGAGAAGUCAGCGCUCUCAGGAGGCCGACAAACCUCAC